Molecule: long non-coding RNA, 1157 nt
Filed under: Gallus gallus (chicken)
Lineage: Eukaryota; Metazoa; Chordata; Aves; Galliformes; Phasianidae
Source: RNAcentral
UGCCACUCCACUGCAGAAACUGGCAAGUUCUUGGCAGUAAAAAUCAAUCUCAUCUCCAGAAGUCACACUUCUUUAUCCAACCUGCCACCUCAGGCCUCCUUCUCCUCCAGGACCUGAAGCUGCCAUUCUUUUUUCUAUUUCUUCCUGCUUCUUUUUCUUUUGCUCUACAGAGUAAAUGUUCUUAAUACCUCGAGACGAAGCCUCCAUCUGCCUCUUCUCAGCAGCUUCUGCGAGCUGUCUUCUUUUUAUUUCCGGGUCGGGCGUCUCCACCACAUCCUUGACGGCGCCCCCCAUGCAGGGCAUGCACAACCCCAUGGCUACGCGGCCGCACGGCUGCCGCGCUCUGCCGAAGGGGAGGUAGGGGCCCCGCCCCGUCACAGGGCCGAGCGAGCCGGCCCGCCGGGGGCGGGGAUGGUCGGGGGAGGACUAUUGGGCGUACUGUUCUAAAUGCGGCCUCAGCGUAGCAGAGCAGGCGAAUAAUCGCGUUCCUUAGCUUGCUGAACGCGAUCCUUUUAAUGAAUCCCAGCAUACCAAUAACCUUCUUGGCCACAAGGGCAAGCUGCUGGCUCACGGCCACCAGGACACCCAGAUCCUUUUCCUCAGAACUCAAUAUCUUCUGUUUACUAUAAGUGCAUGUGUUUAUUUGUACGUACAUGUCUAAAGCAUGAGGCAUUUUUAUAAGGCUCAGUCUCAUGCGCUGCUUUCCUCCUCAAUUACUCCUCGGAUGCAUAAGGCAGAGCAGCAGUUCCACCUGGUGAAGUCAGAGAGCUGAGGGUGAAGCGUCCCAGAGGGGCUCACCGAACCCAAUUGUGGUGCCAUGAGCAGUCAUGGGACACCCAGCCCUGUGAACUCAAGUCCCUAGCCCUAUGCAGUGCCACUCUUUCAUACUACUAGGCCAAAAGGGACAAUAAUUAGUUUCCAGCUCACCUCACUCUGAUAGACCUCACACAUGACUGGGAAUUUACUGGAAGAAGUGUGCUGAAAUAAUUGGCCUUUUCAUUCUCUGGUAUUAUGCUGCCAUCCACUGACGCUAAGCAGACAGAUGCUGCUUCCACAUGCUGGGUGCACGAUGUUGUUGACAAGGCAGUAAUGAUACUGACAUUGUAUGUCAGGAGAAGUGUUUUACGAGGUCUCUGGAAAGUCUCUGAGUUCCUGAU